Molecule: long non-coding RNA, 551 nt
Organism: Drosophila serrata
Lineage: Eukaryota; Metazoa; Arthropoda; Insecta; Diptera; Drosophilidae
Source: RefSeq, a predicted model, not a curated record
AAUGUACUCAACUAAAUUUCCCUCUUAAAGAAGCCAUAAUACUGCUUUAUUCUCCCAUUAAUUUGGGGAAAAUCACAGCUCGAUAUUAAGUCAUAUUCAUGGACAACUUUCUCGGCAUUGGGGCCAACAUAAUCGCCAUAAAUUAUCAUGGCCUAUUGAUUGCUGCCGACCAUUAAAACCUAAUGCCCAAGUCGAUGCCCUGACCAGAAACACGCACUUACUCCAUUUACAACGCUUGGGCCAUUUUGAAAGUCAUUUAUAAUGAAAUGUAGAUGUUGGAGCGCCCCUAAUACCCCUCUCUCCUUCCGGAAAAACUGAGUCAUAUGUCAUCUAUAAGGACCGAAAUUAGUUGCCCGGCAAAACUUGUAAAAUAUUUACGAGCCCAAGUGAGCGCAAAAGGAAAACAAUCACUGUUUCCACAGGCCGGACACCGGACAAGUGUGCUUGAGGUCCGAUGCCCACCGAUGCCGUUCCCCCUGUCUGCUCGAUAGGUAUGCUAUUGUUGGAGCUGUUGCAUCGGCAUGUUAACGAGGGGGCACAUACACUCAGAG